RNAcentral lists this ribosomal RNA (669 nucleotides) under Stenotrophomonas sp. EECC-561. Its description in RNAcentral is "bacterial SSU rRNA". It matches the Rfam family "Bacterial small subunit ribosomal RNA", at positions 66 to 725 of the family's 1533-position model. Lineage: Bacteria; Pseudomonadati; Pseudomonadota; Gammaproteobacteria; Lysobacterales; Lysobacteraceae. The record is from RNAcentral.
GCAGCACAGUAAGAGCUUGCUCUUAUGGGUGGCGAGUGGCGGACGGGUGAGGAAUACAUCGGAAUCUACUUUUUCGUGGGGGAUAACGUAGGGAAACUUACGCUAAUACCGCAUACGACCUACGGGUGAAAGCAGGGGAUCUUCGGACCUUGCGCGAUUGAAUGAGCCGAUGUCGGAUUAGCUAGUUGGCGGGGUAAAGGCCCACCAAGGCGACGAUCCGUAGCUGGUCUGAGAGGAUGAUCAGCCACACUGGAACUGAGACACGGUCCAGACUCCUACGGGAGGCAGCAGUGGGGAAUAUUGGACAAUGGGCGCAAGCCUGAUCCAGCCAUACCGCGUGGGUGAAGAAGGCCUUCGGGUUGUAAAGCCCUUUUGUUGGGAAAGAAAUCCAGCCGGUUAAUACCUGGUUGGGAUGACGGUACCCAAAGAAUAAGCACCGGCUAACUUCGUGCCAGCAGCCGCGGUAAUACGAAGGGUGCAAGCGUUACUCGGAAUUACUGGGCGUAAAGCGUGCGUAGGUGGUUGUUUAAGUCUGUUGUGAAAGCCCUGGGCUCAACCUGGGAACUGCAGUGGAAACUGGACAACUAGAGUGUGGUAGAGGGUAGCGGAAUUCCCGGUGUAGCAGUGAAAUGCGUAGAGAUCGGGAGGAACAUCCAUGGCGAAGGCAGC